This 484-nucleotide ribosomal RNA is filed under the name uncultured bacterium. RNAcentral describes it as "partial 16S ribosomal RNA". It matches the Rfam family "Bacterial small subunit ribosomal RNA", at positions 30 to 507 of the family's 1533-position model. The record is from RNAcentral.
AUUGAACGCUGGCGGCAGGCCUAACACAUGCAAGUCGAGCGGAUGAAGUGAGCUUGCUCCUGGAUUCAGCGGCGGACGGGUGAGUAAUGCCUAGGAAUCUGCCUGGUAGUGGGGGAUAACGUCCGGAAACGGGCGCUAAUACCGCAUACGUCCUGAGGGAGAAAGUGGGGGAUCUUCGGACCUCACGCUAUCAGAUGAGCCUAGGUCGGAUUAGCUAGUUGGUGGGGUAAAGGCCUACCAAGGCGACGAUCCGUAACUGGUCUGAGAGGAUGAUCAGUCACACUGGAACUGAGACACGGUCCAGACUCCUACGGGAGGCAGCAGCGGGGAAUAUUGGACAAUGGGCGAAAGCCUGAUCCAGCCAUGCCGCGUGUGUGAAGAAGGUCUUCGGAUUGUAAAGCACUUUAAGUUGGGAGGAAGGGCAGUAAGUUAAUACCUUGCUGUUUUGACGUUACCAACAGAAUAAGCACCGGCUAACUUCGUG